RNAcentral lists this ribosomal RNA (851 nucleotides) under uncultured bacterium. Its description in RNAcentral is "bacterial SSU rRNA". It matches the Rfam family "Bacterial small subunit ribosomal RNA", at positions 8 to 858 of the family's 1533-position model. The record is from RNAcentral.
AGAGUUUGAUCCUGGCUCAGGAUGAACGCUAGCGGCAGGCUUAACACAUGCAAGUCGAGGGGCAGCAUGUCCAGCAAUGGAUGAUGGCGACCGGCGGAAGGGUGCGUAACGCGUGAGCAACAUGCCCUAUACAGGGAGAUACACCAGGGAAACUUGGUCUAAUAUCCCAUAGCAUUCAUUGAAGGCAUCUUUAAUGAAUUAAAGCUUCGGUGGUAUAGGAUUGGCUCGCGUGACAUUAGCCAGAUGGUGAGGUAACGGCUCACCAUAGCAAUGAUGUCUAGGGGUUUUGAGAGGAAGGCCCCCCACACUGGGACUGAGACUCGGCCCAGACUCCUACGGGAGGCAGCAGUGAGGAAUAUUGGACAAUGGAUGGAAAUCUGAUCCAGCCAUGCCGCGUGCAGGAAGACGGCCUUAUGGGUUGUAAACUGCUUUUAUACGGGAGCAAUAAGGGUUACGAGUAAUCCGAUGAGAGUACUGUAUGAAUAAGGAUCGGCUAACUCCGUGCCAGCAGCCGCGGUAAUACGGAGGAUCCGAGCGUUAUCCGGAAUUAUUGGGUUUAAAGGGUGCGUAGGCGGCCAUUUAAGUCAGCGGUGAAAUUUUGCAGCUUAACUGUAACAGUGCCGUCGAUACUGUUUGGCUAGGAUUUGGUUGUAGUGUGCGGAAUGUGUGGUGUAGCGGUGAAAUGCUUAGAUAUCACACAGAACACCGAUUGCGAAGGCAGCACACUAAGUCAUUAUUGACGCUGAGGCACGAAAGUGUGGGGAUCAAACAGGAUUAGAUACCCUGGUAGUCCACACUGUAAACGAUGAUAACUCGCUGUCGGCGAUACACAGUCGGGGCCAAGCGAAAGC